Molecule: non-coding RNA, 72 nt
Organism: Chytridium lagenaria
Lineage: Eukaryota; Fungi; Chytridiomycota; Chytridiomycetes; Chytridiales; Chytridiaceae
Source: the annotation of a GenBank genome assembly
GCCCGUGUAGUUCAGUGGCAGAAUAUUUCCCUCCUAAGGAAGAGGUCUUGGGUUCGAUCCCCAACUCGGGUA